RNAcentral lists this ribosomal RNA (468 nucleotides) under uncultured bacterium. RNAcentral's name for it is "partial 16S ribosomal RNA". It matches the Rfam family "Bacterial small subunit ribosomal RNA", at positions 28 to 507 of the family's 1533-position model. The record is from RNAcentral.
GACGAACGCUGGCGGCGUGCUUAACACAUGCAAGUCGAACGGAAAGGCCCUGCUUUUGUGGGGUGCUCGAGUGGCGAACGGGUGAGUAACACGUGAGUAACCUGCCCUUGACUUUGGGAUAACUUCAGGAAACUGGGGCUAAUACCGGAUAGGAGCUCCUGCGGCAUGGGGGGGGUGGGAAAGUUUCGGCGGUUGGGGAUGGACUCGCGGCUUAUCAGCUUGUUGGUGGGGUAGUGGCUUACCAAGGCUUUGACGGGUAGCCGGCCUGAGAGGGUGACCGGCCACAUUGGGACUGAGAUACGGCCCAGACUCCUACGGGAGGCAGCAGUGGGGAAUAUUGCACAAUGGGCGGAAGCCUGAUGCAGCAACGCCGCGUGCGGGAUGACGGCCUUCGGGUUGUAAACCGCUUUCGCCUGUGACGAAGCGUGAGUGACGGUAAUGGGUAAAGAAGCACCGGCUAACUACGUG